Molecule: ribosomal RNA, 397 nt
Filed under: uncultured bacterium
Lineage: Bacteria
Description: bacterial SSU rRNA
Rfam family: Bacterial small subunit ribosomal RNA
Source: RNAcentral
CAUGCAAGUCGAACGCAGUAGCAAUACUGAGUGGCAGACGGGUGAGUAUAAUGUGGGAAUCUGCCUUUUGGUUUGGAAUAACUCGGGGAAACCUGAGCUAAUACUGGAUAAGCCCUUACGGGGAAAGCUUUAUGCGCCAAAAGAUGAGCCCGCACUUGAUUAGCUUGUUGGUGAGGUAAAAGCUCACCAAGGCAACGAUCAAUAGCUGUUCUUAGAGGAAGACCAGCCACAUUGGGACUGAGACACGGCCCAGACUCCUACGGGAGGCAGCAGUAAGGAAUCUUGCACAAUGGGGGAAACCCUGAUGCAGCGAUGCCGCGUGAGUGAAGAAGGCCUUUGGGUUGUAAAACUCUUUCGUCGGGGAAGAAAAUGACUGUACCCGAAUAAGAAGGUCCGG